Erinaceus europaeus (western European hedgehog) is the source of this 371-nucleotide long non-coding RNA. RefSeq lists it as uncharacterized. The transcript is spliced from 3 exons. The record is from RefSeq and is a predicted model, not a curated record. NCBI's taxonomy places the organism in Eukaryota, Metazoa, Chordata, Mammalia, Eulipotyphla, Erinaceidae.
GGGACAGAGGAAGAGGACUAUGAUGCACUUUCAAGGAGGAACCUCACAUUUCCACUAUAGAGCCUAUAUUUUCUCCAGUCCUGGAACCUUAGGGUGGGGCCCAUUUUCCUGCAUACUUCUCUCAAUUCAUACUAAAUAAUAUUGAAUCUGCCGAUCCCAACCUAAUCAAUGCAACAAGUGCCACCCCAGCAUGCUAUACUUCAAACUGUGUCCAGAGACUUCAGGUGUGGAAUGGCAACCCUUCAGCCUCAUUACUCAGCCACCAGGUUCCAGAUGCCAGCAUAAUGCUGACCAGACUUCCCUGGACGGAAGAACCCACCAAUGUGUACUAGAACUCUGCUUCCCCUGAGACCCACCCUACUAGGGAAAGA